GCGGCAGCACGACCGAUCGGCUCGCCUGAUCGGACCCUCGAGCUGUCGGACUGGGAGUCUCCAUUGUACCAUCCGCCCGGGUGUGUGCCUCCAGAAAUCCGGCACAUGACACCUCCGACGGGGUCUGCUGGGGAGUCUGCUGGGACCUUUCCGGCGGAUGGGAGCCACUUUCCCCGCUGCCCGAAUGAGUACCCGCCGCAGGGGCAGGCACGACUUCUGUCUCCGGCGGGACACCCUCGACCACCGGCACGUCGGGCUGUGACGCCUUUGCAAAGUCAAUGGCGCCCUUCCGCGUGAACAUGUCUAUAUUGGCCCGGGCCCCAGACUUCGCCGCUUCGGUCAAUGUCUUUUUAUACUCCGCCGACAUCUUGAACGCUUCAACGGCGGCGGCCGCAGAAGAACUCUGUUCAUUUUUCAGGCGGUUAACCUCCCCGUCCAGCCGCUGCAUCUCACCCAGUCUGGCGGCAGACUCCCGCUGCACAAUAAUGAGCUUCUUAUCUUUAGCGGCUAUCCGCUCCUGCAGCAAUGCGAUCUCCUGCUCCAACUGGGAGACGCGCUCAUUCCUCUCCAGGUCCCGCCUUAUGGCCGCAUUAAGCUUGCCGCGGGCGUCCGCAUAGUCACACUCCGCCUUGACCAGCCCCCGCUCGGCCUCCGCCAGUCUCUCCUUGGCCUCCGCCAACUCCCUCUGGAGACCUCCGAUCUCUCCCCUGAGCUCUUCCUCAAUCCGGGGCUGCUUAGACGCCGCCUCGAACAUAUCAUGUAACCCCGCAGAUAUUUGACCAAACGCCGAGCUGAAGGGCGAUUGGUCAAUUGCCGUCGGGCGCGAUAUGCCCGCCAGACCCCCGAACCCCAGCCGCUCG
RNAcentral lists this long non-coding RNA (860 nucleotides) under Rosa chinensis. Its description in RNAcentral is "sRNA RchiOBHm_Chr3g0485251". The record is from RNAcentral. Lineage: Eukaryota; Viridiplantae; Streptophyta; Magnoliopsida; Rosales; Rosaceae.